UUAUGGAAUGACAUGAACGUGUCGCAUUGAAGGUUUCAUGAUAGCCGCCGUAUGAACACAUCUGCGAAUCCUACUAAAUUAAAAGUUUUACCAGUUCAGUUUAAAUGAUAAAUACCACUGGCUCAAUCAACCGAUCAAGUUCCUGCAAGGUUUUCAAUUUUUGCAGUUUUGAGCGUUUUAAGGAUUCCUUUUUUCUCUAUUUCAUUAAAUUUGUAUGUUUUGGAAAGUUAAAUAUGCAAAAUUAAUAUCUCCUUUUGAAGCAUUUUACUACUAGAACUUGUUUUUAUAGAUUGAGCAAUAUCAACUUAACGGUGAUGAUACUUCCUUGAAUGCGAUUGCACUAGUGUGUAAAGAUCCUGACGGAGUUCGUUAUGGAGGGAAGGUCACUUCGAAUCAAGGUAUUUGGGGUACUUGGUAUAACAACGCAUCGUGUCACAAUAUCGAUGGAACGCCUGCUUUCCUCACAGCAUUUCAACUACAAGUGCAAGGAAGUGUAGGGUACGCUGACGAUACAGCGGCCAAUUACGUGAAGUUUAAAUGCAGAGACUUUGGGUCUGUUUACAAACCAUUUGAACUUGCUUCCCCACCGGGAUACGGACAUUUUGGACAGAUGGGCGGCUGGAGUGAUAGCUGUCCUCCAAUGUCAGCUAUCUGUGGGAUAAAGACACGCGUUGAACAGCCUUUGACCGAUGGUGAUGACACGGCUCUUAAUGAUGUAGAAUUCUAUUGUUGUGUAGACAAUCCUGAUGUUGGAAAAUAGACCAAACAAUAAACUGACUGUUGAUAAAAC
Long non-coding RNA from Ruditapes philippinarum (Manila clam), 790 nucleotides. RefSeq lists it as uncharacterized. Lineage: Eukaryota; Metazoa; Mollusca; Bivalvia; Venerida; Veneridae. The transcript has 2 exons. The record is from RefSeq and is a predicted model, not a curated record.